AUGCAAUUUUCAAGCCUGCUGUUGAGUAUCCUCACGCGGACAAUUUAGCUAGCGAGGAGACAAGGCAGUGAUUGAGUACCAGGAUGAGUCUAUUCAAUGUCGCUGAGGCAACAGUUACAAGAUCCUGGAAGAAAACCCGUGGCAGCUCUACACUACAAUAAGGGUGAUAAAGAUGUCUCGCCCAAUGGAAGAUAUCAUAUUUAGACAUGAUCAAGGUAGCAUAG
This is a long non-coding RNA of Zea mays, 224 nucleotides long. RefSeq lists it as uncharacterized. Lineage: Eukaryota; Viridiplantae; Streptophyta; Magnoliopsida; Poales; Poaceae. The record is from RefSeq and is a predicted model, not a curated record. The transcript has 3 exons.